UAGGUUGAAGUUUAUUGUUUGAGCGUUUGGCCGUUAACCAGAAAGUAGUUGGAUAAAUACCAACCAACCUAG
Molecule: transfer RNA, 72 nt
Filed under: Ophiomastix mixta
Lineage: Eukaryota; Metazoa; Echinodermata; Ophiuroidea; Amphilepidida; Ophiocomidae
Description: tRNA-Asn
Rfam family: tRNA
About the family: Transfer RNA (tRNA) molecules are approximately 80 nucleotides in length.
Source: RNAcentral